RNAcentral lists this long non-coding RNA (354 nucleotides) under Bos taurus (domestic cattle). RNAcentral's name for it is "long non-coding RNA NONBTAT006160". Lineage: Eukaryota; Metazoa; Chordata; Mammalia; Artiodactyla; Bovidae. The record is from RNAcentral.
GGUAAUGAUUUUAACGGUUGAACAUUUUAACUAAUUAAUUAUGAUUGAUUGCUUGUUACUAAUCAAGGAAUAUGAGUCAAAGUUGUAAUUGAAAAACCAGGAGCAAUGGGCUUUGCAGAGAGCAUAUCACAACCCUACUGGGAUCAGAAGCAUGACUUUUGCCUUGAACAUUGCAUCCGGGAGCAUUCCAGUCCUUUCUCUUUCAUUUAUUCCUAAGACAGACUGCUAGGGUGUUGAUUUUUCAGUGCUGUGAUUAGGAUCCUGGUGUCUGGAAACUUCUCUGCUUCUGGGUAGUGCUCAUUAAAAGGAGCCCACACCAUCCAGACCAUUUCUGAAAAUUUGAAGAUUCCCAAA